UCUAAUUUGAUUCUGGGUUACUAUCAACAUCCCUUCUUUCUCACCCAUUAUAAUUGAAUCAAUAUAUUGUAACCUGGAAUUUGGUUUUCUAAGAAUAAAAGCUGCCAUCCCUUUAUACACUCCUUGAAUCCUUCCUCUUCUGCAACAGGACACUUGACGACGAAGACCAGCAGCAGUUUGUCGGCCCAUUUAGGACACUGAUCCAAUCUUUUGCCCAACUUCAACCCCUCCCUCUUUUAACAUGGUGAUCUUGGUACAAUGGUAAGUACCACGCCCCCAGCUAGAGAUCGCGAGCCGGAGGUCCGCGCCAACUGCCGCACAUCCGUAGGAAACUCUUUCCACGAGCAUGCAAGGCACCUUAGCCAAAUCUCAAAAAUGUAACUAAAAUAAUUCAGCUGAAAUAAAUGCAAUUUUAUUCCAUUGACUAACUCGAGUCAUAAAGUCUCACGGUUCUAAAUACGCAGCGGAACAAUAAAGAUAAAACAUCAAUUUAAAUAAAUCCUAAUCUAAGAUAACUUGUGCCACAGUUUUUCUAGUUGCUCUUCCAUUUUGAAACCCCGAUAGGUUAGUUCUCGGAAUAUGUAAAACAACAAGAAAUUGUAUAAUGAGCUAGACAGCCCAGUAAAUAAUAAACACCUUAACUAGUUAAAUCAUAUAAUAACAUAAAAUAUAAAUUACAAAUUACAAUGAAUCAACAUAAUAACAUAAUCAAUUCAUUUUCAAACACAAAUUCAUUGAAAUCUAUAUCUUUCAAAUAUCCAUAAGCAUAAUCGUAAAUCUAAUUCGAAACAAAUCACAUUCAUCUCAACAGCCUUUAACUACGACUACACUUAUACCCUGUGGGUAUGCUAGAAACAGAACCGCACUUAUACCCUGCGGAGUGGGCCAGAAUACCCCAUUUAUACCCAGUGGUGGGGCCAGAAUUGCCAAUGCAUAACCUCCAAUUGGCAUGGUCCAAAACAUAGUCAGGCUAAGAGUUCCAAAUCUGAUGUACAUCAAAAUUCUUUUAGUAACAUAAUAGAUAUAUCAUAAUCCGAUCUAAAUAUGCAUAUACGAUGCAAGAGCAGUAAAUAUAAUAAUAGUCCGAAAAAUAUUAUUCCAAUUCACAUAUUUAUUUUUCAUUCAAAUCAUCAUCUCGUAAAAUUCAUAAAUCACAUAUAAAUUCAUUAACAAGUUAUUCAAUACAAAAAUAAUAUUAUAUAAAUGAAGAGUCUAGAGAAGGCAGUUCAUUAUUUACUUCGAACGCGAUCCACAACAAUUCCAAUUAAUUUCACAAAUUCCUCGCAGAACCUAAUAUCCAAAAAUAAUAUUUUUCUUUUUAAAAUUCACACAAUAUAUAUAAAACUUAAAUUUUAACAUUCUUCCAGAGCUGAUCCUGCAGAGGUGUCUAGCACCCCGAGUUCGGGUUCAGAUUCGGGUUCAUACCCGUAAACCACCCUCUUCCCUUUAUUUUAUUAUUAUUAUUUUCUUUUCUUUCUUUCUUUCCUUCCUUUUUCUUUUCUUUUCUUUUCUUUCCUUCUCUUUUCUUUUCUUUUCUUUUUCUUUUCUUUUCUUCUCUUCUUCUCCAAAGCUUCUCCCGACUUCUUCUCCUUCCUCUCUUUUCUUUCUUCUUUCUUCUUCUCUUUCUCCCGCGAAUGGAGGUCGGCGAGUUUGGAAGAGGUCAAGUCGAGGAGGCCGGCUCUCUCCUUCUUCCCGCGGAGGAGGUAUGCGCACAGGAGAAGAGGAAAAGCCCGCGACGAUCAACCUUCUCCUUCUUCCCUCUCCUCUUCUUUCUUUCUCCUUCCACUAUUCCUUCUCUGUUUUCACUGAACAGAGAAGAGGAACAAGGGAUGGGGGUGCUCUUCGGUCCUCAAGAUGACCGCCACUGAGGGCCGGCGGUGCCUGUGGCCGAAGGCAUGCUGACUGCCACGGGUGCCUCCCCCUCCUUUUCCUUCUCUCUUCUUCUUCUUCUUCUUCUAUUUUAUCAAAUGGUAUAACAAAGGGGUGAGGCUAGGAAUCCUUACCACAGCUCCAGUGAAGAUCCGACGGCUUCCUUCCAGCAGCGAACAGAAGAAGAAAACCACCCGGAAAAAAAAUCCGCCUUCGACGGCUCCUUCUCUCUCUCUCUCUCUCUCNCUCUCUCUCUCUCUCUCNNNNNNNNNNNNNNNNNNNNUCUCUCUCUCUCUCUCUCUCUCUCUCUCUCUCUCUCUCACAGGCGGCUGCACGUUGGGGUCUGGUGGCCUUUUCUUCCGGUGGUCUUAAAGGGGAGGAUGAAGCCCUAAAAAUAGGGGAGCCGGCUUCUUCGGGAUGGCUCCCCCCCCUCACGCGCCCUCACGUGCGACGCAUGUGAGGUUGAAAUUGGUGCUGGGCCGAUCAAAGGACCGGGCCCAGUUUCAGGGUUUCACAGUAAGUUUGUUUCAUUGUGACUUGAGUGUCACCAGUUCAAAAAAUAGAAAUAGCGAGAGAAAUUUGUUUCUCAUUUUUGUUCCUUCUUUUAACCAGUAUAACUUGUUUCUCCUUUUCCACUGAUUAAGAAUUGGUGGAGGCAAUAAAGUUCCUGUUCCUUUAUUCAAUAGUUCUUGUUCAUUGUUAUUAUUUUUUGAAUGUUUCUAGUUUAUAUAUGGAUCUAUGUUAUAUGCUGCUAAAUAACUUUCCAUCCACCUUAUCCUUUUUAACUUAUAAUUUUUUUUUCCGGAAUGCUUGCCAACUUUCUCAGAUACGAUUCAGACUAAUUCAAGAAACUCAGAUGUUUAAAACUUUCCAACUUUUAUUAAUAUGAUCUAUUGUGAUGGUUGAAAAAAAACUGUUCAUCAUCAUCAUCACAUUUCAUGAAAUUGCUUCUAAUUUCUAUUCCCUUCUCAAGGACAUUAAAUUUCAUUACGAACAAUUCUGACUUCUACUAUCGGUAAAUCUCCAUUGGGCUUAUCCUUAUUUACUUCACAGGACCACCACAACUUUUUUCUUGUUUAUAACAAAUGCAAAGUUAUCCUAUCUUUAGGAUUAAAAGAGUGUGGAAGAUAGAUUAGGAAAAGAAACCAGGCGUAUUGCACUUUGAUUAUAUUUUUUGAAGGUUGCUGAGAAUGAUUGGCUGGUAGGUGUUGUUUAAUGGCAUGCAUGUUUGUUUAUGUUAGUCCAUUAAUUUAUUUAGGUAGAAUUUGGAGAGAUGUAACUCCCAUUUGCCUAUCGUCAGAGUUACAUGGGUGCGCAACUACUGGAUUCCAGUUGCGAGGAUU
This 3212-nucleotide long non-coding RNA is filed under the name Phoenix dactylifera (date palm). RNAcentral's name for it is "long non-coding RNA (PDAC_LNC006568)". Lineage: Eukaryota; Viridiplantae; Streptophyta; Magnoliopsida; Arecales; Arecaceae. The record is from RNAcentral.